AGCUGAAUACAGCCACAGAUGAUGUCGUCUUCACUGCCCUGCACUCUCUCUUCAUACAUGUGAAAUAUAACAAACUCUCUCUCAGCAGGCUGUUUGUGAAGCUGACUGGCAGACUCGUCACUCUGGUCUUCAGGAACACAUUGUGCAACUGGAUACUGGACUUCCUGUCAAACAGGCUGCUGUUCAGACUGGUAAUCACAGCUCCUCCCCUCUAGGGCCACACUGGAGCCCCCCAGGGUCAUGCACUCAGCACCCUCCUGUUCAUGUUGAACAGCCAUGACUGCACUCACAGACAUGGAGAGAAUAUCUUCAUGAAGUUAGAGGACAACACCACCAUCAUCAUUUUGUUGGAGGAAAUCAGCCGUGCACAGCUGUGCAGUUUGGUGCAAAGACAACAACUCACUGCUCAGUGUCAACACAUGUUGGAGCUAAUGGUCAGACAGCAGGAGAGUUUACUUCAUGAUCCAGUGUGGCAGGUGAACUUCAUUUAACUUCCCAGCAGUGACUGUGACGUCCAUCAGAGGACCUGCAGGCAUGUAUUGUCUGCUCUCCAUCCUCUCCAUGUGUCCGUUUUUUACAUAUUUAUUUGUUUUUGACUUUAUUUGGUUCCUGAGGUGAUACCUGAUAAUCUCUGCACCAGAUUCUGCUCAUCUUCAUUAAAGCCUUUCUGGUCACCUCCACA
Non-coding RNA from Maylandia zebra (zebra mbuna), 682 nucleotides. The record is from RefSeq and is a predicted model, not a curated record. NCBI's taxonomy places the organism in Eukaryota, Metazoa, Chordata, Actinopteri, Cichliformes, Cichlidae.